UAGAACAAGCUUUGUGUUAAAUUGAGUACACAUAAUUCGAUUAUUUUAAAAACAAAGCCCAAGCAGUGUUUUUCUGUUUUUUUGCAUGCAGUGUUUUCCGGUGUAAAGAGAAUUCACUGCCGGAGAAGCCCCAGCUUAGCUUCCUUCUGCCCCUGGGCAGCCCCGUUGGUUUCAGCAGAUGGUCCUGAUGUCUGAGGACCUGCCACAGUUUGCGCCAGUCCUUCCUUUUGCUACUUUUGUUGCCCAAGACGAGGUGUGAUUUAGUGGUUAAAUGCCAGAAUGCUGGGCUGGCUGGAUUUGAACCUUACCUCCUUUGAGAUUCAAUUAGGAUGUGACCUCCGACAGCUUAAUUUCCCUGAGCCUCUGUGUUUUCAUCUGUAAAAUGGGUACGAUAAUAGGGUUGUUGAGAUUUGGCAGGUGAUAAAUGCUGACCAAGUGUUUGCUGUUGCAGUAGUUGUUAUGGCAGUUGUCGUCACUGUCCCCAAUGUCAUCACUAUCAUUCUCGUCAUCUCAGGACACUGAGGAAAGGCUGAGCUAGUAAUGAAUAGGGUUGGACUGGUGCUGCCUCUUUAGUGCCUAAGAAACGCUACCCUGGCCCUGUCUCCAGGCCUUGAUCUCAAGGUGGGAUUCAUCCAUCAUCCACCACGGCCCAGGAGCCAGCUGUCCUCACUUCUGGGGUGACUUGUGAGUAGAUAACAAAGGGGGUGCCCUCACCCUGCAGCGGAGUCCCCAUGGGCCUUGGGGCCCAGAGGGAGAUGGUAUCUGUUUCCCAUGGGCUUCCUGUCACAGGCAGAUGACAUCUGCUCUCUGCUCAGGGUAGAUUUGGGGGCCUCUGCCACUGGCUGACUGGAACUCUCUUACCUCAUUCUAGACUCUUCCAGGCAGCUUUCUGUUUGUUCUCUAACAGAAACAUAGAAACAAACCAGCAUCUUUUCUAAACAAAGAGGGACUUUUCACAGGAAGUUUGAUGACCUGACGCGUUCCCCCUGCUUGUUGAAGCACGAGCCUCUUCUCUGACAGUUAGGGUGACUUGCUGGAGAACAAACAAUAGACAAUAGUUGUGGCCUACUUCCCGUGAGAAGCAAGAAUGGUACAGGUGGAUGUUGGGAGCCCCCAAACCCAUGGAAGGGGUUUCCUGAGGACGUCCUAUAGUCCCUGAACAUGCAGCCGAGGGUUCCUGGGGUAGCAGCACCCGUGUGGUUAGCCCUGUAAUGGGCUCACAUUAUGAGGCUUCCGUGGGUAGGCCCUGUUCAGAGAGCUUUGCGUGCUCUCAUCCUGGGGAGUCAGGGUUAGGUUUAGGGUCAAGACUGAUAUAAUGGCCAGGCACAGUGGUUCACGCCUGUAAUCUUAGCACUUUGGGAGGCCAAAGCGGGUGGAUCACCUGAGGUCAGGAGUUUGAGACCAGCCUGGCCAACAUGGUAAAACCCUGUCUCUACUAAAAAUACAAAAAAAUUAGCCGGGCAUGGUGGUGUGCUCCUGUAAUCCCAGCUACUUGGGAGGCUGAGGCAGGAGAAUUGCUUGAACCCAGAAGGCGGAGGUUGCAGUGAGCUGAGAUCGCACCACUGCACUCCAGCCUGAGUGAGACUC
Molecule: long non-coding RNA, 1587 nt
Filed under: Homo sapiens (human)
Lineage: Eukaryota; Metazoa; Chordata; Mammalia; Primates; Hominidae
Description: non-protein coding lnc-FAM45A-6:1
Source: RNAcentral